RNAcentral lists this ribosomal RNA (254 nucleotides) under uncultured bacterium. Its description in RNAcentral is "partial 16S ribosomal RNA". It matches the Rfam family "Bacterial small subunit ribosomal RNA", at positions 107 to 354 of the family's 1533-position model. The record is from RNAcentral.
UGAGUAACACGUGAGUGACCUGCCUUUUAGACUGGAACAACUUACCGAAAGGUGAGCUAAUGCCGGAUGAGUUAUAUAAGUGCAUGUUUAUAUAGGAAAAGUUGGGGAGACCUGACGCUGAAAGAUGGACUCGCGUCCCAUUAGCUAGUUGGUAGGGUAAUGGCCUACCAAGGCGACGAUGGGUAGCCGGCCUGAGAGGGUGGCCGGCCACACUGGGACUGAGACGCGGCCCAGACUCCUACGGAAGGCAGCAG